ACGCUGGCGGCAUGCUUUACACAUGCAAGUCGAACGGCAGCGGGGGCUUCGGCCUGCCGGCGAGUGGCGAACGGGUGAGUAAUGCAUCGGAACGUGCCCAUGUCGUGGGGGAUAACGUAUCGAAAGGUACGCUAAUACCGCAUACGUCCUGAGGGAGAAAGCGGGGGACCGUAAGGCCUCGCGCGAUUGGAGCGGCCGAUGUCGGAUUAGCUAGUUGGUGAGGUAAAGGCUCACCAAGGCGACGAUCCGUAGCGGGUCUGAGAGGAUGAUCCGCCACACUGGGACUGAGACACGGCCCAGACUCCUACGGGAGGCAGCAGUGGGGAAUUUUGGACAAUGGGCGCAAGCCUGAUCCAGCCAUGCCGCGUGAGUGAAGAAGGCCUUCGGGUUGUAAAGCUCUUUCGGCCGGGAAGAAAUCGUGUUCUCUAACAUAGGACAUGGAUGACGGUACCGGACUAAGAAGCACCGGCUAACUACGUGCCAGCAGCCGCGGUAAUACGUAGGGUGCGAGCGUUAAUCGGAAUUACUGGGCGUAAAGCGUGCGCAGGCGGUUUUGUAAGACAGAUGUGAAAUCCCCGGGCUUAACCUGGGAACUGCGUUUGUGACUGCAAGGCUGGAGUACGGCAGAGGGGGGUGGAAUUCCACGUGUAGCAGUGAAAUGCGUAGAGAUGUGGAGGAACACCGAUGGCGAAGGCAGCCC
Molecule: ribosomal RNA, 700 nt
Filed under: uncultured bacterium
Lineage: Bacteria
Description: bacterial SSU rRNA
Rfam family: Bacterial small subunit ribosomal RNA
Source: RNAcentral